Molecule: long non-coding RNA, 444 nt
Organism: Ochotona princeps (American pika)
Lineage: Eukaryota; Metazoa; Chordata; Mammalia; Lagomorpha; Ochotonidae
Exons: 3
Source: RefSeq, a predicted model, not a curated record
GCCAAUCAGAAUUCUUCCUCUUAUCAGCGGGGCCACAUGGGAUUGACUACUGAAGCAAGAGUGAGUUUGGAGUGAGAUUGAAGCUCAAGGCUUCAGCUGCUGCCUUCUAGUUGACCCCAGCUCCUCCUGAAGUUGGUGAAUGGUUGCCUUCCGAUUUCCAUGUUCCUGCUACUAACUAUUAUUCUAUUUAUUUGCAAGAAUUAAAACAAGAAGAGGAGAGACACAGAAAACGAUUCUACCUACUGAUUCACUAUUCCAAAUGGCCACAAUGUCCAACACAGGAUUAGGUCACAACCAGGAUUCUUCUGUGACACAUCCAACUCUGCCACAUGGAUGGUAUUACCUCAAGGAAGCUUCCGCUCCUGGUCUCUUCCUACAGCAGCAGGACUGAGUCUCUGUUAUUAAUAGGCCAGCCAAGGGUGCUGGAGUCUCCUUCUACUUACA